UGGGGAAUAUUGCACAAUGGGGGAAACCCUGAUGCAGCGACGCCGCGUGAACGAAGAAGGUAUUCGUAUCGUAAAGUUCUGUCCUAUGGGACGAUAAUGACAGUACCAUAGAAGAAAGCUCCGGCUAAAUACGUGCCAGCAGCCGCGGUAAUACGUAUGGAGCGAGCGUUGUCCGGAAUUAUUGGGCGUAAAGGGUACGCAGGCGGUUUAAUAAGUCGAAUGUUAAAGAUCGGGGCUCAACCCCGUAAAGCAUUGGAAACUGAUAAACUUGAGUAGUGGAGAGGAAAGUGGAAUUCCUAGUGUAGUGGUGAAAUACGUAGAUAUUAGGAGGAAUACCAGUAGCGAAGACGACUUUCUGGACACAAACUGACGCUGAGAUACGAAAGCGUGGGGAGCAAACAGG
This 403-nucleotide ribosomal RNA is filed under the name bacterium. RNAcentral describes it as "partial 16S ribosomal RNA". It matches the Rfam family "Bacterial small subunit ribosomal RNA", at positions 355 to 776 of the family's 1533-position model. The record is from RNAcentral.